RNAcentral lists this ribosomal RNA (482 nucleotides) under uncultured bacterium. Its description in RNAcentral is "partial 16S ribosomal RNA". It matches the Rfam family "Bacterial small subunit ribosomal RNA", at positions 30 to 507 of the family's 1533-position model. The record is from RNAcentral.
UGACCGCUAGCGGGAUGCUUUACACAUGCCAGUCGAACGGCAGCGCGGACUUCGGUCUGGCGGCGAGUGGCGAACGGGUGAGUAAUGUAUCGGAACGUGCCCAGUAGCGGGGGAUAACUACGCGAAAGCGUAGCUAAUACCGCAUACGCCCUACGGGGGAAAGCAGGGGAUCGUAAGACCUUGCACUAUUGGAGCGGCCGAUAUCGGAUUAGCUAGUUGGUGAGGUAACGGCUCACCAAGGCGACGAUCCGUAGCUGGUUUGAGAGGACGACCAGCCACACUGGGACUGAGACACGGCCCAGACUCCUACGGGAGGCAGCAGUGGGGAAUUUUGGACAAUGGGGGCAACCCUGAUCCAGCCAUCCCGCGUGUGCGAUGAAGGCCUUCGGGUUGUAAAGCACUUUUGGCAGGAAAGAAACGUCGCGGGCUAAUACCCCGUGGAACUGACGGUACCUGCAGAAUAAGCACCGGCUAACUACGUG